Molecule: non-coding RNA, 2173 nt
Organism: Misgurnus anguillicaudatus (oriental weatherfish)
Lineage: Eukaryota; Metazoa; Chordata; Actinopteri; Cypriniformes; Cobitidae
Source: RefSeq, a predicted model, not a curated record
GUCCUGCUUUAUUUCUUUGUCAUUUUCAAUUAAAUUGCCAAGCACAAUAAGACAGCUGUGUUGUAAGGAGACGAAAUUCGAGACAGGGGUGUUAUUUCAAUGAAGCGCGUGGUCAAAGGAACCGGGUGGAAGACGGUGGAAGGGAAAUUAUAUGUAAAUGUUUGUCGCAGUUUUACACAUAUUCCAUAACCAUGGUUAAUAAAUGGUCAGACACGUCACUGGCUUUAAAAUAUAAACCCCAUUGAUGCAAAAAGAUGCUGCAUGGAAUGACAAUGUGGUUUUGAACAGACUUGGUGAAGAACAUGGAAACAUCUCUUAAUAAAAUGGCCCCAAACAUCAUCAGGAGUGCAAAAGAAGGAAGUAAAAAACAUCUCUACGCCAAUCUCAUUGGAGAGGAAACCACAGAAGGUCUGGUGAGGAAUGCUGCACUUAUGUUAUUGCAAGCAAGAAAAUCCCAGCUUCCUUGACUGUGUAAAUAGUGAACCCAAAGGUCCCACACCAACCAUAGUGUUCAACGGCUCUCCUGAUCUUCUCAAAUCUGAAAGUAUCAACUUUAUAAUGGACAAUGUGAACUUAAUAUGUGGAAGACAUUGACAUCACAGGCUGUGGAAUGACUGUGUCACAGGUCGGAGAAGCGGACCAGAGAAGCGGACCGCCCCUGUCUCGAGGAGGUCCCAAAGCACCCCAAUGACCAGACAAACCAGAGAUAAGUAAAAUAUAGAAAUAGAAACUUUAUUUAAAUUAUUUAAAACUAAAGUGGGAAAUGGGAAUCUAAAAAUCUCGCUUCUCGUCCUCAGUGGGAGUAUUACGGGGCCAGGGACGUUGGAGGGGUUUCCACGUGACUCCAGCUGGAACACCGCUACAGAGCGUAUCUGGGUGGGUUACGCACCGUCGCGGCGGCCCCUGAUGGCAUCCACAAAGGUCCAAGACCCUCCUAAGCUCCUAGCCGUAGCAGAACUACGUAUUUCAGCACCCGAAGGACUAACAACCCAGCCGGCAUCUGCAGCAUAUAUCCAACGCGAUCAAACUUCACUCUGACAAGUAACUUCCUAUACACAACCACGCCGUCCUUUCGCCCGGACCAGCCCCGCACUCUUUCCGCCCGCUACCUGGCGGUCGCCGGAUCAGCAGAGCAUGCGGACUCUUCGGAGGCUGGUCUUCGUUGUGCUGCCCAAGGCGGAAGUUGACUCGCCCGAAAAUCGACCCUUCCGGUAACUUCUACCUUCUCUCUUUAUAUCCUCCUCCAUGGCGUGGCUCGCCCAACCAUCGCUCACCACGUCACUCACACAGCUGUGCCUUGUUUCAGCAAGUGCGGGGAUUCCCGGGGAACCCGGAAGUGCCGGUGUCUGUACAAACCGGUCCGGGCGGAACCUCUUCACUCUCCUUUUGGUUCCGCCCCGCAUAGUGACUCCGUGACAACUGUUUGCAUUUUUUUUUCUCCUCAAUGUUCAAUACCCUUUUGCCAUUAAGCACACAGUGACUUUAAUUUAUAAAAUAUAUGCUUAAGUUUUAAUACCUGUACAAAACAAAUGUACAAUCAACUGGUGUAAAUUGUCAUUCUAUUUAAUAGAUUGUUCAUGAAUUGUCUUUAAAUGCAUUGUGAUUUCGGUAACACUUUACAAUAAAGUUCAUUAGUUAACAUUAGUUAAUGUAUUAACUAACUUGAACAAACCAUAAGCAAUACAUUUGUUACAGUAUUUAUUCAUCUUUGUUAAUGUUAGUUAAUAAAAAUUUAAGCUUUAAUUGCUUGUUCAUGUUAGUUCAGAGUGCAUUAACUAAUGUUAACAAGAUUUUAAUAAAGUAAUUGUUGAAAUUAACAUUAACAAAGAUUAAUAAAGGCUGUAUAAGUGCAGUUCAUUAUUAGUUCAUGUUAACUAAUGUAGCUAACUAAUGUUAACUAAUGAACCUUAUUGUAAAGUGUUACCGUGAUUUCUUUUCAUCAUUUCAGACACAUGUAAAAGUUACUAAAAAAUAGUACUGCAUAUACUGUACAGUAUCUAUGCGUAAGAGAAAUAACUUGAACAAAAUUUUUAAUGUAUAGUGUAAUUAAGAGUUUAGCUGUUUAAUACAGAGAUGCAAUUUAUUUAUAUAUAUUAUUUAUAUAUAAACGUAUGUAUGUUUAUUAAAAAGUGAAAAUGCUUAAUGGAAAUAAUUAAAUAACUAAAUGGUUGAA